CUUUCCUUUCUGUAUUUCUGUAUAGUCGUUGAUCUGAAAGAUUUAUCAUCAUGCGUUUUUUGCUGACCGUUCUUCUCUUGGUUGCUGUAGUUAUGAUUGUUGCUGAAGCGAGUCGUAGCGGUCAUCGUAAUAGACAUAACAGACCAUCGUUGAGAAACGUCAGCUGUGAAAGGGUAAAGCAUGCCGGUGUUUGUGAGAGAUGCUGUGACCAGUGUAAAAAUGUUAAGUGUUGUGAACCUCUAACUUGUUCUGGGGGUGAAUGUAAAUGCAACGGUGAAGUCUGUGGAGAGAAUCAAACCUGCUCUGGUUCAGGUGGUGUUGCCAUUUGUGUCGAGAAUGAGCCAGAGUGGCCUUUAGAGUAAAUAAAAACUACGAAGAUAAACAAACCAAACAUUCCAGACCCUUUAAAAACAACAACAGAUGUGAUUUUCAACGUACUUCAAGUCGGCAGACAAAUAGUAUACGGUACAGCCUAGAAGAUCAACGCCAUUUCCACUGAUAUUAUGAUAUUGUAAAAAAGAAAAAUAAAUGCUCUGGGGCCUGUUUCCCAAAAUUUUAACUAAGAUAAAAGCCAAAUUAUAGUAAUUUGAUUGGAUAAUAUUAGAUUGAUUUUAGUGCUUAGCCAAUCAAAAUUGAAGUAUCUACUAAAAUUUGGAUUUUAUCUUUAGUUAAAAUUUCGUGAAACAGGUCCCAGAAAUCUAGUUUGAACAAAUGUCUUGGUGCAUCAGAUAUAACGAGGACAAGUUUCAAACGUUCAUCUGGGUCAAGUUGCUUAAAUUUCUUGACUCAUGUUGAUUCACAAUCGGCAAAUCGCAAAUAUUCAAUGCGGCUAAGAAUUCUUGCUUUACAAUAUUUAUUAUAAUAAAUGAA
This is a long non-coding RNA of Patella vulgata (common limpet), 870 nucleotides long. RefSeq lists it as uncharacterized. The record is from RefSeq and is a predicted model, not a curated record. NCBI's taxonomy places the organism in Eukaryota, Metazoa, Mollusca, Gastropoda, Patellidae. The transcript has 3 exons.